Molecule: ribosomal RNA, 474 nt
Filed under: uncultured bacterium
Lineage: Bacteria
Description: partial 16S ribosomal RNA
Rfam family: Bacterial small subunit ribosomal RNA
Source: RNAcentral
GACGAACGCUGGCGGCGUGCUUAACACAUGCAAGUCGAACGGUAAGGCCCUUCGGGGUACCCGAGUGGCGAACGGGUGAGUAACACGUGGGUAAUCUGCCCUGCACAUCGGGAUAAGCCUGGGAAACUGGGUCUAAUACCGAAUAGGACCACAGGACACAUGUCCUGUGGUGGAAAGCUUUUGCGGUGUGGGAUGGGCCCGCGGCCUAUCAGCUUGUUGGUGGGGUGAUGGCCUACCAAGGCGACGACGGGUAGCCGGCCUGAGCGGGUGUCCGGCCACACUGGGACUGAGAUACGGCCGAGACUCCUACGGGAGGCAGCAGUGGGGAAGAUUGCACAAUGGGCGAAAGCCUGAUGCAGCGACGCCGCGUGGGGGAUGACGGCCUUCGGGUUGUAAACCUCUUUCACCAGCGACGAAGGUCCGGGUUUUCUCGGGCUGACGGUAGGUGGAGAAGAAGCACCGGCCAACUACGUG